Molecule: long non-coding RNA, 1570 nt
Organism: Jatropha curcas
Lineage: Eukaryota; Viridiplantae; Streptophyta; Magnoliopsida; Malpighiales; Euphorbiaceae
Source: RefSeq, a predicted model, not a curated record
CCGUUAUGUAGAAGUCGGUGGAAUAUCUCUGCCAGUUACAAAUCCUAAUCAGAAAAUCGCCGCAAGGAAUAAAACAUGGAUGAGGAUUUCCAGAUUCAUAUAACUUCAGUUCUAUGUUCCCAGAUACUGCUGAUGGCUGCACAAGCAAGACCAAGGCAGAAGACGUAACAAACAUUAAUGAAGCAGGAAAGUUUCUAAGGUCCCCAUCAACGCAUUAGAUAUCUUACUUACAAAGGGUUCUCUCUAUCUCUCUCUCUCUCUCUCUCUCUCUCUGCCUCUUUUUUUUAUUUUUUUUUAUUAAUUAAAUUUUAUUCCAUCAAACAAAAUAGCAGAUAGCUCGGUUGCUCCUAUAACAUGUGGCAUGACUUUGCCAUGAAAUGAGUCUCCAUCCUAGUUAUCCACUGAAACAAUAGACUGGUCAGAGUAUAGGCAGACAAAAUGAAACUGCAGACGAAUCAGUUAUGUUAUAUGCUGACUUCUACUUUCACUAUUUGUACUUAUAUUUGGGGUUAGUUUGGCAUCACUGUUGCUAACGGCGGAUUUUGGGCGAAAAGUUAGAAAAAAAUUUCUUUGAAUCAGUGGAUAGUUGCUCUUUGAAGUGUGAAUUCUUAUGGGCCAAAGCUGAUUUUGAGAAAAGCUUCACAUGGUAAUUUUUUCCAAAUAAGUUUUUGUCUAUGAAAAUCACACAGCAAAAGAGCCAAAUCUAAUGGCUCAAACAUGACCAAUGUAUACUCCUAACUUUUAGCCUAAAAUCUGCUAUUAGCAAUAACAAUGCCCAAAGGGCUCUAUUAUUGAAGAAUUGACUGAGUAGGACUGCAAAAUGAAGUUAAAUGUUAAAAUGAGGAUCAGCAGUCCUGUUGCCAUCCGAGCAAAUCCUUGCUGUCUAUAAUGUACAUUGUCACAUUGAUAAGACAAUUAGCGACAAGAUGAUUCUAGGUGGAAUUUGACAGUCAGUGAGACACCAUAGAUAGGGAAAAAAACAGACAGGGUAGACCACGAAAUAUAAGGAGGCUAUGAAGUGAAGAAAUCAGUCUGAUGCCAAUUAAGACCAAGCACUUGAUUAGAAAAGCAUAGAAACGGGAACAUUGAAACAAGGUGAAAGGGGUGAAGGCAUGGUUAUCAGCAACAAGCAGUUUAUAACCCUCGAAUCAUAAGCUUUAUCUUGAUUGGUUUUAAACUUUCAGCAAUACUUGAAUUCAAUGACCUAUUGAUUGAGCCCAAUUGGACAAACAGCUGCAAGAUUUAAAAAGUACAAAAUUUGAAAGGUAAAUUUAACGAAAACAAAAGGAGCAUAGAAAUGGUUAGAGUUCAUUUUAGGUGUUCAGAAUAGGCCAUUUCGUUCAAGUUGAAGUGCUUUUAAGGAAAAAAAAAAAAAAAAGUUAAGGUACACACGUUGAAGAAAAGAUUGCCAAGGUGUAGUUAAGGGCAUAUGAAAACAGUAAUUAUUUUCUCAAGUUGAAUAUAUUCUACUGAUGCAAAUUUAUCUGUAAAGAGACAGAUUAUCAGAUUACAGCUUAUCCUGUUAAAGGUUUAUUUAAAUUGGAUAAGGAAACAGAUAUUAUCUAUCAAA